This 460-nucleotide ribosomal RNA is filed under the name uncultured bacterium. RNAcentral describes it as "partial 16S ribosomal RNA". It matches the Rfam family "Bacterial small subunit ribosomal RNA", at positions 338 to 795 of the family's 1533-position model. The record is from RNAcentral.
CCUACGGGAGGCUGCAGUGAGGAAUAUUGGUCAAUGGACGGAAGUCUGAACCAGCCAUGCCGCGUGCAGGAAGACGGCUCUAUGAGUUGUAAACUGCUUUUGUACAAGGGUAAACCUGAAUACGUGUAUUCAGCUGAAAGUACUGUACGAAUAAGGAUCGGCUAACUCCGUGCCAGCAGCCGCGGUAAUACGGAGGAUCCAAGCGUUAUCCGGAUUUAUUGGGUUUAAAGGGUGCGUAGGCGGAUUGAUAAGUUAGAGGUGAAAUGUCCGAGCUUAACUCGGGAACUGCCUCUAAUACUGUUGAUCUAGAGAGUAGAUGCGGUAGGCGGAAUGUAUGGUGUAGCGGGGAAAUGCUUAGAGAUCAUACAGAACACCGAUUGCGAAGGCAGCUUACCAAUCUAUAUCUGACGUUGAGGCACGAAAGCGUGGGGAGCAAACAGGAUUAGAUACCCGAGUAGUC